RNAcentral lists this ribosomal RNA (253 nucleotides) under uncultured bacterium. RNAcentral describes it as "partial 16S ribosomal RNA". It matches the Rfam family "Bacterial small subunit ribosomal RNA", at positions 524 to 776 of the family's 1533-position model. The record is from RNAcentral.
UACGAAGGGGGCUAGCGUUGCUCGGAAUCACUGGGCGUAAAGCGCACGUAGGCGGAUUGCUAAGUCAGGGGUGAAAUCCUGGAGCUCAACUCCAGAACUGCCUUUGAUACUGGCGACCUUGAGUCCGGGAGAGGUGAGUGGAACUGCGAGUGUAGAGGUGAAAUUCGUAGAUAUUCGCAAGAACACCGGUGGCGAAGGCGGCAUCCUGGACCGGUAUUGACGCUGAUGCGCGAAAGCCAGGGGAGCAAACGGG